CCUACGGGUGGCUGCAGUGAGGAAUAUUGGUCAAUGGGCGAGAGCCUGAACCAGCCAAGUCGCGUGAGGGAGUACUGCCCUAUGGGUUGUAAACCUCUUUUGUCGGGGAGCAAAAGCCGGACGUGUCCGGCUGUGAGAGUACCCGAAGAAAAAGCAUCGGUUAACUCCGUGCCAGCAGCCGCGGUAAUACGGAGGAUGCGAGCGUUAUCCGGAUUUAUUGGGUUUAAAGGGUGCGCAGGCGGAUUUUUACGUCAGCGGUCAAAUCGUGGGGCUAAACCCCAUCCAGCCGUUGAAACUGGGGAUCUAGAGUGUGCGAGAGGUAUGCGGAAUGCGUGGUGUAGCGGUAAAAUGCGUAGAUAUAUGGAAGAACACCAGUGGCGAAGGCGGCCGCCUGGCCUGUUACUGACGCUGAGGCACGAAAGCGUGGGGAGCAAAUAGGAUUAGAUACCCUUGUAGUC
This 458-nucleotide ribosomal RNA is filed under the name uncultured bacterium. Its description in RNAcentral is "partial 16S ribosomal RNA". It matches the Rfam family "Bacterial small subunit ribosomal RNA", at positions 338 to 795 of the family's 1533-position model. The record is from RNAcentral.